Molecule: ribosomal RNA, 443 nt
Filed under: uncultured bacterium
Lineage: Bacteria
Description: partial 16S ribosomal RNA
Rfam family: Bacterial small subunit ribosomal RNA
Source: RNAcentral
CCUACGGGAGGCUGCAGUGGGGGAUAUUGGACAAUGGGGGGAACCCUGAUCCAGCGACGCCGCGUGAGUGAAGAAGUAUUUCGGUAUGUAAAGCUCUGUCAGCAGGGAAGAAAGAAAUGACGGUACCUGACCAAGAAGCCCCGGCUAACUACGUGCCAGCAGCCGCGGUAAUACGUAGGGGGCAAGCGUUAUCCGGAAUUACUGGGUGUAAAGGGAGCGUAGACGGUUAAGUAAGUCUGGAGUGAAAGGCCGGGGACCAACCCCGGGACUGCUCUGGAAACUAGUGAACUUGAGUGCAGGGGAGGUAAGCGGAAUUCCUAGUGUAGCGGUGAAAUGCGUAGAUAUUAGGAGGAACACCAGUGGCGAAGGCGGCUUACUGGACUGUAACUGACGUUGAGGCUCGAAAGCGUGGGGAGCAAACAGGAUUAGAUACCCGAGUAGUC